Molecule: ribosomal RNA, 267 nt
Filed under: uncultured bacterium
Lineage: Bacteria
Description: partial 16S ribosomal RNA
Rfam family: Bacterial small subunit ribosomal RNA
Source: RNAcentral
GUCCACGCUGUAAACGAUGGAUACUCGCUGUGGCUGGUAUUGACCCCGGCCGUAGCCAAGUUAACACGUUAAGUAUCCCGCCUGGGGAGUACGGUCGCAAGAUUAAAACUCAAAGGAAUUGACGGGGGCCCGCACAAGCGGUGGAUUAUGUGGUUCAAUUCGAAGCAACGCGCAAAACCUUACCUAGCCUUGACAUGCACCGGAAUGGUCCUGGAAACAGGCCAGUCCCGCAAGGGACCGGUGACACAGGUGCUGCAUGGCUGUCGU